Octodon degus (degu) is the source of this 702-nucleotide long non-coding RNA. RefSeq lists it as uncharacterized. NCBI's taxonomy places the organism in Eukaryota, Metazoa, Chordata, Mammalia, Rodentia, Octodontidae. The transcript has 4 exons. The record is from RefSeq and is a predicted model, not a curated record.
UGGGAGGCGGCAGCAGCAGCACACGGAGGAGGAGGCAGCCGAUCCAAGGCUGGGCAGCAGGCUUCACGGGGCCUGCUGUGGAUUCAGGACCCUAGCACACUGCCACCUUAAAGCUCGGUCUGCGACUCACAGUGACAUCUUCACGCUAAGACCUCCAGAGGGAGGCGUCCCAGAGCUCAGGAGGUGCCGGGCCCCAUUUGCUGGAUGCGGCCGGGACUGCGCCCCUCCCAGAAGCUCUUGCACGGAGUCUCCAGUGAUUCCCAGCGCUGGCAAACCCAGCCCAACCCUUUGGGACAGCUUGGGAAACCCCUGGCAGGAUGCUGGAAGCAGGGAGAGUUCAGAUAUUGGCAACUCCACAUCUGCCAUGCCAUGUCCCUGCCAGCAGCGCUGUGUCCGUGCCUCACCAGCCGUCCAGCUCCAGUUCACAAAGCGCCCUUGAAACAGGGCCAGCCCAAUCGGAUUCCCCUCUCAUCCCCAGCCUAGCACAAUCAGUCUGUACCUUUCCUGAGCACAAUGUGUGCCCUGUCUCCUAUUCUAGUGAUCUGUUUACUAAUCUUGUCCUAACCAGAUUAGAAAGUCCUUGAGGCAGAAACAAAGUCUGCUUCUUCUUUGAGGCCUCCUCCCUGCCCCCCAUUUCAUCUCUCCCAGGCCAAGCCCGGCACCCAAGUUGAUGUUCAAUAAAUAUGGGGUGUAUUGAAAUGA